GCAAUAAUUACCGGGCAAUUACUCUUUUGGCAGCUGGCCACUCAACGGCGGCAGGUGAUCAAAUUCACCAAUGCAAACAAGUAAGCUCGCUGCCAAAGGAGAUUUGCCCCGCAAUUCAUCU
Non-coding RNA from Populus trichocarpa (black cottonwood), 121 nucleotides. The record is from Rfam. NCBI's taxonomy places the organism in Eukaryota, Viridiplantae, Streptophyta, Magnoliopsida, Malpighiales, Salicaceae.